UCUUCCUACGGGGGGCAGCAGUGAGGAAUAUUGGUCAAUGGGCGUAAGCCUGAACCAGCCAAGUCGCGUGAGGGAUGAAGGUUCUAUGGAUCGUAAACCUCUUUUAUAAGGGAAUAAAGUGUGGGACGUGUCCUGUUUUGUAUGUACCUUAUGAAUAAGGAUCGGCUAACUCCGUGCCAGCAGCCGCGGUAAUACGGAGGAUCCGAGCGUUAUCCGGAUUUAUUGGGUUUAAAGGGUGCGCAGGCGGUCUGUUAAGUCAGCGGUCAAAGCCCGGGGCCCAACCCCGGCCCGCCGUUGAAACUGGC
Molecule: ribosomal RNA, 305 nt
Filed under: uncultured bacterium
Lineage: Bacteria
Description: bacterial SSU rRNA
Rfam family: Bacterial small subunit ribosomal RNA
Source: RNAcentral